CAGGUAGUAAGGAAGGAAGGAAAAGAGCCCCAAAUCCCGGAAAAAUAAAACCUCAUGGAAAUCGCAUAGAAAGGAGAGAGAGAGGAGAGCAUCAGCAACAGUAGCCCAUAAUAAAAGCUGCAGAGAAGAAAACAAGAUCCACCUCGAGCACCUCUCCACCACCAACUUCCUAAUUUCAUCCCUUCAAUCUCUUCCCCCACCCCAGACCCCCCCCUCAAUUUCAUUCUUCAAUCUCCACUUUUCCCUCAAUUCACCAUGCCAAUCGAGUCAAAACCCACGAUUUAGCCCUUUCCUUGCUUGCUCUCCUUUCGUCCGUUGCAAAAUCACAAUCCCCAGAAAUCUCGAGCCCUUAGAGAGAGAGAGACGGAAAUUUGGUGGAUAGAUUAACUAAUUCUCAAUUGGGUUUUCUAGAUUUUUGGGAGGAUUGAAUUGGGUUUUUCUGGGUGGGAGCGGAUUCAUUAUGAGGGAAGAGGAUUGUAAUUGGUUCUCCAAGUGGGAAGAGGAGCUGCCGUCGCCGGAAGAGCUUAUGCCCUUGUCUCAAACCCUGAUUACGCCCGAUCUCGCCAUCGCUUUCGAUAUUCCAAACCCCAAUAGUAGCUCCCAACCACAAGCCCCGCCGCCGCCGCCUCCUCCGCCUCCGCCUCCUUCGUCGGCGGAAUUCGACUCGGCCGAGCUGGGAACGGGAUCCGCCGGCGACGAGCCCGCCCGGACCCUCAAACGGCCACGCCUCGUCUGGACGCCGCAGCUCCACAAGCGGUUCGUGGACGCCGUAGCCCACUUGGGCAUCAAGAACGCCGUCCCCAAGACCAUAAUGCAGCUCAUGAGCGUCGACGGCUUGACGCGCGAGAACGUCGCCAGCCAUCUCCAGAAGUACCGCCUCUACUUGAAGCGUAUGCAAGGGAUUUCGACAGGAGGAGGCGCCAACGGCGCUGCCGGUGGCGCUGGCGGAGCGUUGGCUCCCGGCGGGGACCCCGCCACCGAUCAUUUGUUCGCGAGCUCGCCGGUGCCGCCGCAUUUCUUGCCGUAUGUUCCGGUGGCGGCGCUGCAGCACCACCCGCAGAUGGCGGCGGUGGCUGGGCAUCCGCAGCUGCAGUCGCCGUAUCGGCAAAUGGGGCAUUAUGGGUCGCAGCCGCACGGGCAAUUCGAGCAUCCGUUUAUCAGUAGGCAAUCACAGCCUGUUCAAAGAAUGGGGGCGCCACUGCACAAUUCUGUAGCUUCCUACGCGGAGGACGUUGAUUCGGGCACGGCGGUGAAUGGGAGGAAAGUCCUCACUCUGUUUCCAACUGGGGAGGAUUGAAUUUGGGUUUCAGAGCAUUAGGGCCAAGGUCCUUUGAUUUGAGUGUAUUUCCAAGUGAUAUUUCAAGAUUUGGUAUUUUGAUUUGACAACUCAUUUCAAGCCUGUUUGAAUGUAUUUGCAGUGUUCAUCCAAGCAUGUUGCACGCACGAGGGAGAGUUUUGGUAGCAAUAGUAAUGUUGUUCCUUUGCGAAUGGAAAAGCGACAGGUUCUGAGUCGAGAAAAUAGCCUUUUUGCAAAGCAAAGGUAAGUCUCGAUAACAAAACUACCCUUCUCCAAUUCUCUCUCAAAGCGGGCGUCCCGUACACAAGGACGACCUUUUUUUUAGAGUCUAUGUAGCAUGUGCGCUAACAGAUGAACAAAGCUUCUAGGCAGCCCUGUGCUUUCCUUGAAGCCUGGACUCCAUGGAAAUGCUCCACAUGCAUACCCACUGGUUUUCUUUCUUUGCAUUUUCAUUCAUAUAUGUUAAAGAGUAGAUGCCAUGUUUGUAGUAAACAACCCCUUUUUGUGCACUUAUGCAAGUAUCGUGUCACUAAAUAACUGCUAAUGGCCAUUAAACAAUCCCAGCAUCAACACUCAGCCCUGCACAUGGUUAUGCAGCUCACGCCAGCCUAUAUGCUAGAGCUUGAGACUAGGCAGCCCUGAACUAGUAAUUAAAUAACACUAGCUGCCAGUUGGUACCACAUUAUUAGUAUUAUUAUUAUGUAAGGAACCCUUGUUGCAUCUUUGUGUUAUCAGUCAAUAAAUGAUGCCCAUGUGAAUUUUCAAACCCUAAUUAGCCACUAAAUGGAUUUUGCAUAGAUAUCAUAGUUGUUGGCUCUUUUAUGAAUUUUACAAUGAUAAAAUUGUUCUUUUAUAAUCAGAAGGUCAUUUGUUUGAGUUAAUAGACAAUAUCUCUUGUAAGUCCAUGUACUAAACAUCAAACCUAACUCUCUCCCUUCUAUU
RNA transcript from Diospyros lotus (date-plum), 2239 nucleotides. It is a transcript of the gene named transcription factor MYBC1-like, with no coding region annotated. NCBI's taxonomy places the organism in Eukaryota, Viridiplantae, Streptophyta, Magnoliopsida, Ericales, Ebenaceae. The transcript has 3 exons. The record is from RefSeq and is a predicted model, not a curated record.